This is a long non-coding RNA of Egretta garzetta (little egret), 1092 nucleotides long. RefSeq lists it as uncharacterized. The record is from RefSeq and is a predicted model, not a curated record. The transcript has 3 exons. Lineage: Eukaryota; Metazoa; Chordata; Aves; Pelecaniformes; Ardeidae.
AAAGCCAUCAUGCUUAGUUAUGCAAAUGGAUUGCACAAGACAGUCUCUUCCCAAACAGUCGCAUGGCUAAGCGGCAUAACAAGAAACUGGGAAAAGAAACCAGAUGCCCGGUGAAAUGAAGUGAAUGAGUCCAGCUGGUACAGCAGAUCGCUGGAACCAGGAACAGGAUUAGCUUUUGUUUUGCUGGAGCCAGUCCCAUAUACGUUGCAGUUUGUUUCCUUUUCAGGGAAAGCUUGUGAACAGAGCAUCUUAGUUCAGUCUCAAGAAACAUAAAGGGUUCAAGCGUGUCAAAGGGAGGGUGGCCCAGCUGUCCAUCAAGUCCCUCUGAAGAUCCCUGAGGUUCCCAAGUGACCGAAUCCAGUACCAGUGAUCAGGAGGAAUGUUGCAAAACACUGGUGUGCCCAGCAUGAGGUAGAAGCUGUAGGAAGCUCCAAAUUGCCCCAGUCCAGCAGUGAACUCUGGCAUCUCUGAUCCUGUGCUCCGCCUGGGUGGCUACAAAGGCUCAAAUCAAGGGCACCAAGUUAGCACUGAGGAUUUCGUACCAAUCGUCCUGUGCUUCGCCUCGAAUACGCACGUAUCUGGCUUUGCACGUGCUGAGAACUUGAUGCUAUCCAGUUCCCUUCGCAGAACCACAGUAUGUUUUUUAUUUUGGGGAUGGUAAAUGCAGUCACACUGAAAUCACUGGAUUCCUCUUAAGUCAAAUUGAAUUGUGCUGGUUGUGAGGAGUAAAAUACAGCAGAUGUUCUGUAUGUGGUUUUUGUGUCUGCUGUAAGCAGCAUUUAAAACCCUCUGUUUCUGUCUUGACUCUGUUGGUGCUGAGGAUUAAGUAACCUUCCUUUGGAGUGUUACUUGCCAUGGAAAACAAAAUGCUGAAAUUGGCUCUUGUUAGAGGGCCACUCGCUCUGUUGGUUGUCUGUGCUAUUACUCCCUCUAUGUAAACAAUCAGCAUCCAAAACGUAGGGUCAGGAGUUGUCCAUUUUGUAGUUCUGCUGUUCUUGCCCGCAGAACUUCUGAGAUUCCCUUUUAGAAGUAACAGUGUGCAAGUCUGAAAAGAAACUGAAGUUAUUUACUAGUUAGAGAUUUUAAACAAAU